UACGGGGGGGGCAAGCGUUGUUCGGAAUUACUGGGCGUAAAGGGUUCGUAGGUGGCCAACUAAGUCAGACGUGAAAUCCCUCAGCUUAAACUGGGGAACUGCGUCUGAGACUGGAUGGCUUGAGUGCAGGAGAGGAACGCGGAAUUCCAGGUGUAGCGGUGAAAUGCGUAGAUAUCAUUUGGAACGCCAACGGCGAAAGCAGGCAGCUGGGGGAUGCACCGACGCUGAGACACGAAAGCCAGGGGAGCGAAACGGG
This 256-nucleotide ribosomal RNA is filed under the name uncultured bacterium. Its description in RNAcentral is "partial 16S ribosomal RNA". It matches the Rfam family "Bacterial small subunit ribosomal RNA", at positions 524 to 777 of the family's 1533-position model. The record is from RNAcentral.